GAAGAUCAUAUGCGGGUACGAGUGUAAUAUUGUCAACGCAAAGGCCCAUUUUGUAUGACUUGCAAAGGAUGGAGUUAGAGAUAAAGACUCCAGGGACCCAUGUGAUGAUGGCGAAUAUACGAGUAGAACCGACUUUAAUCGAUAAAGUUAAAGCUGCUCAAGCUACAGACCUGGAGCUGAUUCGUAUGAGGAAUAAAGUACAAGAAGG
Molecule: long non-coding RNA, 208 nt
Filed under: Panax ginseng (ginseng)
Lineage: Eukaryota; Viridiplantae; Streptophyta; Magnoliopsida; Apiales; Araliaceae
Description: long non-coding RNA (PGIN_LNC003993)
Source: RNAcentral